This is a long non-coding RNA of Daphnia pulicaria, 433 nucleotides long. RefSeq lists it as uncharacterized. The transcript has 4 exons. The record is from RefSeq and is a predicted model, not a curated record. Lineage: Eukaryota; Metazoa; Arthropoda; Branchiopoda; Diplostraca; Daphniidae.
ACGGCACCCCAUAGUUUCGACGAGUAUCCAAUUUUUAAUGGCCACCUGGUGAAAUUUAAAUCAAGGUGGUGUGAAACUUUAUUUCCGAGAUGUGAAAGGAGGGUAUUCUUCAAACGGUAGAUUGACAUGGCUGCCUUUUGAAGCAAGGGUGCUGUCCUAAUAGUGCUUCGAUUGCUGAAUAUUUUUAGGAUGGUUGAAUUCUGCAACAUACUGGUGGCUUAUCUGUGAUUGACAGCCUUUCUUGAUGCUUCCAACCUGAAUUCUAUGUGAUGGUUGAUGGCUGCUCUGUGGAUUGGACAUUGUAAACUAGAUCAAGUCAUGUUGUUGAAUUAUUGCAUCAUUUCAUGUGUAUUAAGUUUCUGUAUUGUCUGUUGAAUGUAGACCGGUUAAAUCUCCGGUGGCGAGCUGGAGGAAUACACUGCUGUCUUGAACU